GAUGAACGCUGGCGGCGUGCCUAAUACAUGCAAGUCGAGCGAACAGAUGAGUAUCUUGCUCCUCUGACGUUAGCGGCGGACGGGUGAGUAACACGUGGAUAACCUACCUAUAAGACUGGUAUAACUUCGUGAAACCGGAGCUAAUACCGGAUAAUAUCUUGAACCGCAUGGUUCAAUAGUGAAAGACGGUUUUGCUGUCACUUAUAGAUGGAUCCGCGCCGCAUUAGUUAGUUGGUACGGUAACGGCUUCCCAAGGCAACGAUGGGUAGCCGACCUGCGAGGGUGAUGGGCCCCACUGGAACUGAGACACGGCCCAGGCUCCUACGGGAGGCAGAGGUAGGGAAGCUUGCGCACUGGGCGAAAGCUUGACGAAGCAGCGCCGCGUGGGUGAUGAAGGUCUUCGGAUCGUAAGACGCUGUUAUUGGGGAAGAACAAAUGUGUAAGGAGCUAUGCACGUCUUGACGGUACCUAAUCAGAAAGCCACGGCUAACUACGUG
Molecule: ribosomal RNA, 497 nt
Filed under: uncultured bacterium
Lineage: Bacteria
Description: partial 16S ribosomal RNA
Rfam family: Bacterial small subunit ribosomal RNA
Source: RNAcentral